GAUACCCCCGGAAACUGGGGAUUAUACCGGAUAUGUGGGGCUGCCUGGAAUGGUACCUCAUUGAAAUGCUCCCGCGCCUAAAGAUGGAUCUGCCGCAGAAUAAGUAGUUUGCGGGGUAAAUGGCCACCCAGCCAGUAAUCCGUACCGGUUGUGAAAACCAGAACCCCGAGAUGGAAACUGAAACAAAGGUUCAAGGCCUACCGGGCACAACAAGCGCCAAAACUCCGCCAUGCGAGCCAUCGCGACGGGGGAAAACCAAGUACCACUCCUAACGGGGUGGUUUUUCCGAAGUGGAAAAAGCCUCCAGGAAUAAGAACCUGGGCCAGAACCGUGGCCAGCCGCCGCCGUUACACCCGCCAGCUCGAGUUGUUGGCCGGUUUUAUUGGGGCCUAAAGCCGGUCCGUAGCCCGUUUUGAUAAGGUCUCUCUGGUGAAAUUCUACAGCUUAACCUGUGGGAAUUGCUGGAGGAUACUAUUCAAGCUUGAAGCCGGGAGAAGCCUGGAAGUACUCCCGGGGGUAAGGGGUGAAAUUCUAUUAUCCCCGGAAGACCAACUGGUGCCGAAGCGGUCCAGCCUGGAACCGAACUUGACCGUGAGUUACGAAAAGCCAAGGGGCGCGGACCGGAAUAAAAUAACCAGGGUAGUCCUGGCCGUAAACGAUGUGAACUUGGUGGUGGGAAUGGCUUCGAACUGCCCAAUUGCCGAAAGGAAGCUGUAAAUUCACCCGCCUUGGAAGUACGGUCGCAAGACUGGAACCUAAAAGGAAUUGGCGGGGGGACACCACAACGCGUGGAGCCUGGCGGUUUUAUUGGGAUUCCACGCAGACAUCUCACUCAGGGGCGACAGCAGAAAUGAUGGGCAGGUUGAUGACCUUGCUUGACAAGCUGAAAAGGAGGUGCAU
This 900-nucleotide ribosomal RNA is filed under the name uncultured archaeon. RNAcentral describes it as "bacterial SSU rRNA". It matches the Rfam family "Archaeal small subunit ribosomal RNA", at positions 125 to 995 of the family's 1478-position model. The record is from RNAcentral.